This 443-nucleotide ribosomal RNA is filed under the name uncultured bacterium. RNAcentral's name for it is "partial 16S ribosomal RNA". It matches the Rfam family "Bacterial small subunit ribosomal RNA", at positions 338 to 795 of the family's 1533-position model. The record is from RNAcentral.
CCUACGGGAGGCAGCAGUGGGGAAUAUUGGGCAAUGGGCGCAAGCCUGACCCAGCAACGCCGCGUGAAGGAAGAAGGCUUUCGGGUUGUAAACUUCUUUUCUGAGGGACGAAGAAAGUGACGGUACCUCAGGAAUAAGCCACGGCUAACUACUUGCCAGCAGCAGCGUUAAUACGUAGGGGGCAAGCGUUAUCCGGAUUUAUUGGGUGUAAAGGGCGUGUAGGCGGGAAAGCAAGUCAGCUGGGAAAACUCAGGGCUCAACCCUGAGCCUGCAUUUGAAACUGUUUAUCUUGAGUGCUGGAGAGGCAAGCGGAAUUCCGUGUGUAGCGGUGAAAUGCGUAGAUAUACGGAGGAACACCAGUGGCGAAGGCAGAUUGCUGGACAGUAACUGACGCUGAGGCGCGAAAGCGUGGGGAGCAAACAGGAUUAGAUACCCUUGUAGUC